RNAcentral lists this ribosomal RNA (459 nucleotides) under uncultured bacterium. RNAcentral's name for it is "partial 16S ribosomal RNA". It matches the Rfam family "Bacterial small subunit ribosomal RNA", at positions 338 to 795 of the family's 1533-position model. The record is from RNAcentral.
CCUACGGGGGGCAGCAGUGAGGAAUAUUGGUCAAUGGCCGAGAGGCUGAACCAGCCAAGUCGCGUGAGGGAAGACGGCCCUACGGGUUGUAAACCUCUUUUGUCGGGGAGCAAAGCGAACCACGUGUGGUUCAUUGAGAGUACCCGAAGAAAAAGCAUCGGCUAAAUCCGUGCCAGCAGCCGCGGUAAUAAGGAGGAUGCGAGCGUUAUCCGGAUUUAUUGGGUUUAAAGGGUGCGAAGGCGGAGGUGCAAGUCAGCGGUCAAAUUGCGGGGCUCAACCCCGUACUGCCGUUGAAACUGCAUCCCUUGAGUGCGCGAGAAGUAUGCGGAAUGCGUGGGGUAGCGGUGAAAUGCAUAGAUAUCACGCAGAACCCCGAUUGCGAAGGCAGCAUACCGGCGCGCAACUGACGCUCAUGCACGAAAGCGUGGGUAUCGAACAGGAUUAGAUACCCUGGUAGUC